RNAcentral lists this ribosomal RNA (404 nucleotides) under uncultured bacterium. RNAcentral's name for it is "partial 16S ribosomal RNA". It matches the Rfam family "Bacterial small subunit ribosomal RNA", at positions 30 to 526 of the family's 1533-position model. The record is from RNAcentral.
AUUGAACGCUGGCGGCAGGCCUAACACAUGCAAGUCGAGCGAGCGGCGGACGGGUGCGUAAUGCCUGGGAAUUGCCCAGUAGAGGGGGAUAACAGUUGGAAACGACUGCUAAUACCUCAUAGGAUUGUCUUGCCCAGGUGGGAUUAGCGAGUUGGUGAGGUAAUGGCUCACCAAGGCGACGAUCCCUAGCUGGUCUGAGAGGAUGAUCGGCCACACUGGGACUGAGACACGGUCCAGACUCCUACGGGAGGUAGCAGUGGGGAAUAUUGCACAAUGGGGGAAACCCUGAUGGAGCAAUGCCGCGUGUGUGAAGAAGGCCUUCGGGUUGUAAAGCACUUUCAGCGGGGAGGCGUUACUCGCAGAAAAAGCACCGGCUAACUCCGUGCCAGCAGCCGCGGUAAUUC